This 318-nucleotide long non-coding RNA is filed under the name Vulpes vulpes (red fox). Its description in RNAcentral is "lncRNA (ENSVVUG00000015223.1)". Lineage: Eukaryota; Metazoa; Chordata; Mammalia; Carnivora; Canidae. The record is from RNAcentral.
CUGGCAUCUGCACAGCGCACACGGCUCCGCGGGCGGCCCACACCGGCCUCCGGACCACAGGGAAAACCAUGGAAACUUCAGGACCUUCCUCCCAGACUCAAGAUGACAGUCGAGUCCAUGCAGAAACAGAAGACCUAGACUAUGAAGAGACGGAUUUCUACAAGCCAGACAGGGAGGCUGGACUCCUUUCCCAAGAACAACCUAAGAGACACAAGUCUUCUACCUCUUCCUCCUCCUCAUCUUCCUCCUCCUCCUCAUCAUCCUCUUCCUCAGGUACUGAGCAUGAGGAACCUGACCUCUUGAAGGAUGAGCUUCAGC